UACGAAGGGGGCUAGCGUUGCUCGGAAUCACUGGGCGUAAAGGGUGCGUAGGCGGGUCUUUAAGUCAGGGGUGAAAUCCUGGAGCUCAACUCCAGAACUGCCUUUGAUACUGAGGAUCUUGAGUUCGGGAGAGGUGAGUGGAACUGCGAGUGUAGAGGUGAAAUUCGUAGAUAUUCGCAAGAACACCAGUGGCGAAGGCGGCUCACUGGCCCGAUACUGACGCUGAGGCACGAAAGCGUGGGGAGCAAAUAGG
Molecule: ribosomal RNA, 253 nt
Filed under: uncultured bacterium
Lineage: Bacteria
Description: partial 16S ribosomal RNA
Rfam family: Bacterial small subunit ribosomal RNA
Source: RNAcentral